Molecule: small nuclear RNA, 80 nt
Filed under: Alexandrium catenella
Lineage: Eukaryota; Dinophyceae; Gonyaulacales; Pyrocystaceae
Description: partial Dictyostelium signal recognition particle
Source: RNAcentral
CCCCUUCUCGAAGGAGAAGGGCCGGAGCGAGCUCAAGACGUUCACGGACCAGCAGACGAUGAAAGAGGUGGGGGAUGAGG